RNAcentral lists this ribosomal RNA (253 nucleotides) under uncultured bacterium. RNAcentral describes it as "partial 16S ribosomal RNA". It matches the Rfam family "Bacterial small subunit ribosomal RNA", at positions 524 to 776 of the family's 1533-position model. The record is from RNAcentral.
UACAGAGGGGGCAAGCGUUGUUCGGAAUUAUUGGGCGUAAAGGGUGCGUAGGCGGUCGUGCAAGUUAGGAGUGCAAUCCCAUGGCUUAACCAUGGAACUGCUUUUAAUACUACAUGACUGGAGGCAGAGAGAGGGUAGCGGAAUUCCUAGUGUAGAGGUGAAAUUCGUAGAUAUUAGGAGGAACACCGGUGGCGAAGGCGGCUACCUGGCUCUGUACUGACGCUGAGGCACGAAAGUGUGGGGAGCAAACAGG